Misgurnus anguillicaudatus (oriental weatherfish) is the source of this 2704-nucleotide RNA transcript. It is a transcript of the gene named cyclic nucleotide gated channel subunit alpha 4, with no coding region annotated. Lineage: Eukaryota; Metazoa; Chordata; Actinopteri; Cypriniformes; Cobitidae. The record is from RefSeq and is a predicted model, not a curated record.
GUUGUUGUUGUUCAACUCACCCCUUAGGACCUUCAGCUGUACAGUGUACGUACUGCAAAGGCUUUUGGAGGUGAAAUUUCCAUUUUCAUUGCAAAAAUAAAGGUUUUUAGUAAGGUUGGAUCAUUUUAAUGUACAACAAAAAAUGUGUUACUACCUUUUCAUUUUUAAAAUUCUGAUUGGUGAGACAGGUAAGUUCUCUGGAGAAAUGUUGCCAUAACAACAAGCAUCACAUAGCGCCCGUGUUGUAUGGGUGGGGAUGUUUGUUGUUAAGAGAAGACAUACUAUGUGGUCAAACAAUGGUCUUGUUAUAUUUAUCACUCACACCAAUUCCCAUAGACGAUGAAUAGUUGUGUGUCAGACACUAUGUCUGAAGAAUACAUUAUAUAGUUGAUUGAAAACUUCUUGAAGACUCUUCCUCAAUUUCGAAAUAUUGAACAUGAACUCGAAUCGCUGGGCAAGACUUUUCGCGUGGCAACGCAUUAACAAAAAUGUUGAAGAGGGGGAGAAUAAAGGACAAGCACUAAAUGACAAAAAAGAAGAGACUAAAAAAAUAAACUGGAAGGAAUGGAUAGUUGAUCCAUCUGAAGACUUUUACUACACAUGGUUGCAAAUUAUGAUACUACCUAUCUGCUACAACUGGGUCAUUAUAAUAUGCAGAACAUGUUUCUUCGACAUUGAAAAGAAGUUUUUUGCAGUUUGGCUCACAUUGGACUAUAUCUGCGAUUUGUUUUAUGUGGUUGACACAGUAAUCGGGUUUCGCACUGGCUUUUUGGAGCAAGGCAUCCUGGUGCGAGACUUGUCCCGUUUGAAGACGCGGUACAUGCGCUCCUCGCGCUUUAAGUGGGACAUCGCUUCCAUGUUGCCAACCGAUUUACUCUACCUGCAGCUGGGUGUUAACACACCUAUAGUCCGGAUCAAUCGCUUUCUACGCACAGGACGUAUGAAUGAGGCAUUGGACCGCAUGGAGACGCGCACAUCCUACCCGAACACUUUCCGUGUCGCCAAACUGAUGUUGUAUAUUUUCGUGCUCAUCCAUUGGAACGCGUGCAUCUACUUCUCCCUCUCCAGUUACAUAGGAUUCGGUGCUGAUCCCUGGGUCUAUCCCAACAUCUCGGACCCCGAUUUUGCGUCCACCCGACGCCAGUACUUUUAUAGCUUCUGGUUUUCGACUCUCAUUCUCACCACAGUGGGUGACACGCCGCGACCAGAGUGCGAGGAAGAGUAUUUGUUUCUGAUCGCCGACAUGUUGAUCGCAGUGCUGGUGUUUGCAUCAGUCGUGGGGAGCAUGGGGGACGUGAUAUCAAGCUUGCGCGAUCGUGACAACGUCUUCUUUCCCAAUCACGAGCUGGUGAAGGGUUACCUGCGCAGCCGGCGCAUCAGCAAAGAACUGCAGAAACGCGUCAAUGACUGGUAUCAGCAUCUACACCUCAACAAAAAGAUCACCCGGGAGAAUGAGAUUCUUCAACAUCUUCCGAUCACUCUUCAGACGGCAACUGCCGUGAGUGUGCAUCUGCCCACUCUGUCUAAAGUCACCAUCUUUCAGAACUGUGAGAACAGUCUGUUGGAGCAGCUGGUACUUAAACUCAGGCCACAGGUGUAUAGCCCAGGAGAGUAUGUUUGCAAGAAGGGUGAUGUAGGUCAUGAGAUGUAUAUUAUUAAAGAGGGAAAGCUUGCAGUGGUGGCUGAUGAUGGAGUCACUCAGUUUGCAGUACUGGGAGAUGGAAACUUCUUUGGAGAAAUUAGCAUACUAAAUAUAAAAGGUAACAAAUCUGGCAACAGACGAACAGCCAACAUUCGCAGCAUUGGUUACUCAGACCUGUUUAGCCUCUCCAAAGAGGACCUGACCGAAACACUUCUUGAGUUUCCUGCUGCCAAGCACCUACUGGAGGAGAAGGGUCGUCAGAUUCUAACGAAGAUGGGCAUGCUACAAGAGACGGAUGAAGGUGAGGGAGAGGUGGAGAAAACAGAAGACAAGGUGAAGCGCUUAGAUGCCACCCUAGAGACCCUGCAGACCAAACUGGCUCGACUGAUUGCUGAACUGGAGUCUAGUGCCCGUAAAAUGAUGCAACGGGUGGAACAACUGGAGUUGCAGACGGAAGAAUGGGAAGGCAUUGUGGCCGAGGGGGCACAGGGAGAGAUUGAAAACCAGCAAAAGGUAAAGGAAAGGGAGAUUGGGGAUGGGGAAGGAGAAGGAGAAAAGAAAGAUAAAGAUGAAGAUGAGCCAACGGUGGAAGGAGAGAGAGGAGUGGGUGAUGGAGGAGAGGAAAGCCUUGGAGAAAAAGAUAAAGAUAUAGGAAGGAAACAGAUAAAUGACAGUGAGGAAGAAGACACGGGAAAGGAGUAAUAAAGACUGAAAACGUCAGGCAUUGCUUAGUAAUUCCAGCUGUGCAGCCUUCUCAAUCCGAACGCUAGAUGGCAGCACAUACUCCACUUUUACAGCUGAAUUGAUUGAGACAUGGAGCUCAGAGGACAUCAGGUUCAAGUGGUGGUAUAUUAGGGGCCUGAACUACUUUCAUGCAUUGGGUCUUUCUGUGGUAGCAAAUUACAAGACUGGUGGUAGCACUGGUUGUAUAGAGUUGACCCAUUAGUGGCCUCAGUGAUGGUCGGCUUUAUUUCAAGGUUAGUCUCUCAGAAUUUUAUUUAAAUACCAAAAGGAAAAUAGCAAAAGAGAAAUAUAUAUAUUUAUGUAUAUAAAUGUAUAUAU